This 433-nucleotide ribosomal RNA is filed under the name uncultured bacterium. RNAcentral describes it as "partial 16S ribosomal RNA". It matches the Rfam family "Bacterial small subunit ribosomal RNA", at positions 29 to 507 of the family's 1533-position model. The record is from RNAcentral.
AACGAACGCUGGCGGCAUGCCUAACACAUGCAAGUCGAACGAGACCUUCGGGUCUAGUGGCGCACGGGUGCGUAACGCGUGGGAACCUGCCCUUAGGUUCGGAAUAACUCCCCGAAAGGGGUGCUAAUACCGGAUAAUGUCUUCGGACCAAAGAUUUAUCGCCUUUGGAUGGGCCCGCGUUGGAUUAGCGAGUUGGUAGGGUAAAAGCCUACCAAGGCGACGAUCCAUAGCUGGUCUGAGAGGAUGAUCAGCCACACUGGGACUGAGACACGGCCCAGAAUCCUACGGGAGGCAGCAGUGGGGAAUAUUGGACAAGGGGCGAAAGCCUGAUCCAGCAAUGCCGCGUGAGUGAUGAAGGCCUUAGGGUUGUAAAGCUCUUUUACCCGGGAUGAUAAUGACAGUACCGGGAGAAUAAGCUCCGGCUAACUCCGUG